GUCUACGGCCAGGCCACCCUGAACAAGCACAAUCCCAUCUGAUCUCGGAAGCUAAACAGAAUUGGGCCUGGUUAGUACUUGGAUGGGAGACCACCUAGGAAGACCAGGUGCGGUAGAUG
RNAcentral lists this ribosomal RNA (119 nucleotides) under Pteropus alecto (black flying fox). Lineage: Eukaryota; Metazoa; Chordata; Mammalia; Chiroptera; Pteropodidae. The record is from RNAcentral.